Molecule: ribosomal RNA, 301 nt
Filed under: uncultured bacterium
Lineage: Bacteria
Description: partial 16S ribosomal RNA
Rfam family: Bacterial small subunit ribosomal RNA
Source: RNAcentral
CAGUCGCCACGGGAAUACGGAGGGUGCAAGCGUUAAUCGGAAUUACUGGGCGUAAAGCGCACGCAGGCGGUUUGUUAAGUCAGAUGUGAAAUCCCCGGGCUCAACCUGGGAACUGCAUUUGAAACUGGCAAGCUAGAGUCUCGUAGAGGGGGGUAGAAUUCCAGGUGUAGCGGUGAAAUGCGUAGAGAUCUGGAGGAAUACCGGUGGCGAAGGCGGCCCCCUGGACGAAGACUGACGCUCAGGUGCGAAAGCGUGGGGAGCAAACAGGAUUAGAUACCCGCGUAGUCCCUGUCUCUUAUAU